Molecule: long non-coding RNA, 223 nt
Filed under: Elaeis guineensis (African oil palm)
Lineage: Eukaryota; Viridiplantae; Streptophyta; Magnoliopsida; Arecales; Arecaceae
Description: long non-coding RNA (EGUI_LNC045719)
Source: RNAcentral
CUUCAAUAUCCAUUUAGUUUGGAUAUUCAUCAGGAAAAAUAAGAAAAGACAAUCAUAAGAAUAUAGCAACCAAAAUCCAUCGGCACCCAUCAGCUUUAAGACAUCAUAUGGGAAGAAAAAAAAGAGGUCAGUCCCUUCAAUAUCCAUUUAGUUUGGAUCAUCAUCAGAAAAAAUAAGAAGGUAACCAUAAAAAUAUUGUAAUUAAAGCCCAUCGGCACCCAUC